Molecule: ribosomal RNA, 460 nt
Filed under: uncultured bacterium
Lineage: Bacteria
Description: partial 16S ribosomal RNA
Rfam family: Bacterial small subunit ribosomal RNA
Source: RNAcentral
CCUACGGGGGGCAGCAGUGAGGAAUAUUGGUCAAUGGACGCAAGUCUGAACCAGCCAUGCCGCGUGCGGGAAGACGGCUCUAUGAGUUGUAAACUGCUUUUGUACGAGGGUAAACGCAGAUACGCGUAUCUGUCUGAGAGUAUCGUACGAAUAAGCAUCGGCUAACUCCGUGCCAGCAGCCGCGGUAAUACGGAGGAUUCAAGCGUUGUCCGGAUUUAUUGGGUGUAAAGGGUGCGUAGGCGGUCGGAUAAGUUAGAGGUGAAAUCCCGAGGCUCAACUUCGGAAUUGCCUCUGAUACUGUUCGGCUAGAGAGUAGUUGAGGUAGGCGGAAUGUAUGGUGUAGCGGUGAAAUGCUUAGAGAUCAUACAGAACACCGAUGGCGAAGGCAGCUUACUAAGCUAUUUCUGACGUUGAGGCACGAAAGCGUGGGGAGCAAACAGGAUUAGAUACCCUAGUAGUC